GGAUGUGACAUUGAUCUGGCUGUGACAUCAGUCACCUUAUUGAUUAUCAGGGUUGAUUCAGCUGAUCUGGCUGGCGGGGCAGCUGUCUCCCUGCUCUGUAGCCACACCAUGUGUGUCCCUCCCGAAGCUGCACGAUUGGCUGCAGACAGAGCCUUCCCUGAGGAGAGACUCUGUUGAGAGUAUAGGAGGAGCGUGCGCCCCUGCUGAGGCUCCAAGCAAGCGCUCAAGACACCCAUUUUCUGAAGUGCAGCCUUUAGUAAGAUGGGCUGUCACC
Molecule: small nuclear RNA, 274 nt
Filed under: Sorex araneus (European shrew)
Lineage: Eukaryota; Metazoa; Chordata; Mammalia; Eulipotyphla; Soricidae
Description: 7SK RNA (ENSSARG00000018356.1)
Rfam family: 7SK RNA
About the family: 7SK was discovered as an abundant small nuclear RNA in the mid-70s but a possible function has only recently been suggested. Two independent studies have found that 7SK RNA binds the CDK9/cyclin T complex (known as elongation factor P-TEFb). P-TEFb activates transcription by phosphorylating the C-terminal domain of RNA polymerase II.
Source: RNAcentral